RNAcentral lists this transfer RNA (78 nucleotides) under Salmo salar (Atlantic salmon). It matches the Rfam family "tRNA", at positions 8 to 63 of the family's 71-position model. From Rfam's summary of the family: Transfer RNA (tRNA) molecules are approximately 80 nucleotides in length. Their secondary structure includes four short double-helical elements and three loops (D, anti-codon, and T loops). Further hydrogen bonds mediate the characteristic L-shaped molecular structure. tRNAs have two regions of fundamental functional importance: the anti-codon, which is responsible for specific mRNA codon recognition, and the 3' end, to which the tRNAs corresponding amino acid is attached (by aminoacyl-tRNA synthetases). tRNAs cope with the degeneracy of the genetic code in two manners: having more than one tRNA (with a specific anti-codon) for a particular amino acid; and 'wobble' base-pairing, i.e. permitting non-standard base-pairing at the 3rd anti-codon position. The record is from Rfam by way of RNAcentral. Lineage: Eukaryota; Metazoa; Chordata; Actinopteri; Salmoniformes; Salmonidae.
UGGCUCAGUUGGUAGAGCAUGGUGAUUGCAACGCCAGCAUGGUGUGUGCAAUGCCAGGGUUGUGGGUUCAAUUCCCAC